RNAcentral lists this ribosomal RNA (258 nucleotides) under Triticum aestivum (bread wheat). RNAcentral describes it as "partial small subunit ribosomal RNA". The record is from RNAcentral. Lineage: Eukaryota; Viridiplantae; Streptophyta; Magnoliopsida; Poales; Poaceae.
AUGGCGCCUCUCAAGGUGACAGCUGCCUUAUGUGUCGUGCUGGUCCUGAUGAUCCAGCUGCAGGCGCCGGCGGCCGCACAGGACAUAACAUGCGACGAGUGCGGACCGGGAUGUGGCCAGGCGUGCAAUGCGCAGCGCCCCUACUUCUGCAACAGCUUCUGCAACAUCUUUCCCACCCUGUGCAACUACUGCUUCCUCAUCCAAUCCGACUUGUGUGUGCCCGAGUGCACAAACCUCUGCAGGAUCAACUGUGUGUGA